AUACGUAGGGGGCAAGCGUUAUCCGGAAUUAUUGGGCGUAAAGAGUGCGUAGGUGGUUUUGUAAGCGCGGGGUGAAAGGCAAUGGCUCAACUAUUGUAAGCCCUGCGAACUGUGAGACUUGAGUGCAGGAGAGGAAAGCGGAAUUCCUAGUGUAGCGGUGAAAUGCGUAGAUAUUAGGAGGAACACCAGUGGCGAAGGCGGCUUUCUGGACUGUAACUGACACUGAGGCACGAAAGCGUGGGGAGCAAACAGGAUUAGAUACCCUGGUAGUCCACGCCGUAAACGAUGAGCACUAGGUGUCGGGGCCGCAAGGUUUCGGUGCCGCAGUUAACGCAUUAAGUGCUCCGCCUGGGGAGUACGCACGCAAGUGUGAA
Molecule: ribosomal RNA, 374 nt
Filed under: uncultured bacterium
Lineage: Bacteria
Description: bacterial SSU rRNA
Rfam family: Bacterial small subunit ribosomal RNA
Source: RNAcentral